ACAUUGAGCGCUAAGUAUUUUAACAAUGAUUUAUUAACGCUAACAUAAUAAUUGUAAGCGUUAUUAAGAUACGCUGAUCAUUCUUGUAGGAUAGAGUCUCUGCAUAGAUUCGGCCACAUUCCGCGAUUCCCAUGAGACCUUGCGAUUAGUUUUCUCGUUGCAUCGCGUCAGUGGAGUUAUGUCGUUCUGUGUUUUUCCGAAUUUACGUGUCUAACCGACUCGUUCAGGUGAGUGAGUACCGUUAGUGUCGAAUAACGUCUUGAGAGUAUCGAAUAAGGGUAUCGAGCGAUCGUUAUUACGCGUUUAAUUAACGUGUCGCGAUCGGUAUGAAUUUGUUUCGCGAUUGUGUGUGUGUAUGUACUCGAUCAUAACCUAUCUCGCCGAUAGGACGAAGUUGUCCCGUUCGCGGGCGUUCGCCCGGAGAUCGAUGGCUCUCCGUAACCGGAGAUUGAUCACUGAAAAUCAAAGAGGUGGCUACGCUUGCUUUCUUAAAAAAAAGGCCGGGGAAUUUUUCGUCUGCCGGAGAUUCAUUUGAAAAGCUGGACUCUCCGGUCGAAAACCGGAAGAAGCCUUUUUCAGAGAAAGAAAUUCAAUCGGAGACUCCGGCUUUUUUUAACCCAAUCUCCGGUAGGAAAGCCAGGUUAUUCUCAAAAUCUAGACAAUUUAGAUAGUAACGUUCGAAAUGAUUUGCGUAUUCGAGCUCGAUAUAUCAGAUGUGCCGACUGCCGUGCAAUGUAGAAUAAAAUCUCGGAAGUGUCAAGUAAAGUUUCGGGAGUGCCGAAUAAUGUCUCGGGAAUGUUGGACAAAGAAUAAAUAACGUUACGUCGGCCUUAAUUUCUCGUUUCUUUCAACGCCAACUGACGCUGCUACUGAUAUUGUCUUCAGGAUGCUCCAAUCUACAAGGUUCUAUUCUCGGAUGAAUAGGUUGAUGAGGGACGGUGUUGAUAACCACAAUUGACAUGAUCCGGCACGUGAGCUUGGUUACGUCGUGUACCAAUGAAGUGUCCUACAACGUAUACCUAGAUCCCAUUAGGCUCUAUCCAAUUCUGGCUUUGACAGCUGUCGAGUGAUACGCGU
Molecule: long non-coding RNA, 1077 nt
Organism: Monomorium pharaonis (pharaoh ant)
Lineage: Eukaryota; Metazoa; Arthropoda; Insecta; Hymenoptera; Formicidae
Exons: 3
Source: RefSeq, a predicted model, not a curated record